CCACUACAUAAGCUGUCUUCAGACCUUACCUCAACGCCGCAGUGUUGUUCCAGUUGGAAACCCGAGUCUCUUCUGUGAAAGCUCUUGGAGAGCUAACCUGCCGAGCCGACCCUCUGAGCCAAACCCUGAAGACUUUCUGAGAAAUCCCAAGCAGCUCAGGACUAGAGCUGGAAGAACCAAACUAAGGUCUGUCCAAGCUAGACGUGAGACGCUGAAGCAGCUACGGACUCUGCUGAUAAACUCUUCUCCAGAACCAACAGAAACUCCCCCAAGGAGAAUUACUCAAGAACCCUCAAGACUCCAGUGAAACCAGGACCCAGGCCCGAACCAGAUCCCAGUUCAUAUUGUGUUGUGCUUAAUAAACUGUUGAACUUUUAUCCUCGUGUCCGCCUUGUGGUGUUCUGCAUAACUGGGUC
Cyprinodon variegatus (sheepshead minnow) is the source of this 416-nucleotide long non-coding RNA. RefSeq lists it as uncharacterized. The record is from RefSeq and is a predicted model, not a curated record. The transcript is spliced from 3 exons. Lineage: Eukaryota; Metazoa; Chordata; Actinopteri; Cyprinodontiformes; Cyprinodontidae.